This is a long non-coding RNA of Falco peregrinus (peregrine falcon), 1381 nucleotides long. RefSeq lists it as uncharacterized. The record is from RefSeq and is a predicted model, not a curated record. NCBI's taxonomy places the organism in Eukaryota, Metazoa, Chordata, Aves, Falconiformes, Falconidae. The transcript is spliced from 2 exons.
UUGCAGAGGAUGGGUCUUUCUGCCCUGUAGGGAUCUAUCUAUCACUGCUGACUCUCUGUAUCUUCUCCACAUGGAAGAAGUAAUUGGAUUGUACUUUCUGCACACGACCAAGACAGCAGGGAAACCUAGAGCUGUAGGCUAAAGAACUAAGCUGUCCAGAGGAUAGAGAAGCAUCUGAUGCCUAAGAAAACUAAAUGGCUUUUUCUAACCACAAGAUCUUUCCUUUCUUUCUAUGGAGAAGCUGGGACAUGCUGAACUGCACUCACCGGGCUGCACUGAAACUUGGGAAGGUCCAUGAAGCCUUCAGGGAGUCAUGAAAAACAUAACCACCCAAAUAAUCCCUGCUGAAAACCAGCCCAGGGGCAUUAAAUGUCUGUGAAUACAUGAAACAAUAAAUCAUGCUGUGGAAUGCUAACAGUUAGGGGCAUUUCUUAAAAUUACAAUACAGAGGCAUUACUGUGAAAUAUGGUGGUGUUUUCACAACAUUAGGACCUCUAUGUCCUACCACAUAGGUGGGGUAUAUGGUUAUGCAGGAGCAACUGCAACCCUUAAGGCCAGAAAAAAUAAAAAAACCCCACCCAGUUAUUUCAUAUAUUUCCAGAUAGGGUUGUAUCUAUAAUUAUACCAUUACAAACUUCCAUGUUUUAACCAUAAGCAUUGUGCUGUUUCUUUAUUUAAAGACGCCAGAAUUCUGACAUUAUCAUGUUGGAGUGAUUUGGGGAAAGUGGUGAGAUUGCCAAGACAUUAUGCUGUUAGGUCUGGGCCUGUGUGCCUCCCUCAUCAGCAUAACCAUUAAUCUCAUCAAGACUAAGGACAUGAGGAGGAUGAGGCCUCCAGUACCUGACGGUGAAAGCAUGGUAGCACAAGGCUCGAAACUGAAAGCAGCCAGACUUUGGACAAAGAAUGAGUAGGGAAGUUGCUGAGAUCUCCACACAGGUGUCUGACACCACUCCCACCAAGGUGGGUGCAAAACUAUCUCACAACUCAGCUUCCCUUCCCCAGUCCCUGAGGAUGCAGCUUCCACCAAGACAGAUCCCAUCUUUGCCUUCCCAGGUAAGGCUGGGAUACCAGUAUGAGAGAGAGUUGGGCAAAUUUUGUCAUUUUUUGACAUACCAUAACUUUGCUAUUUUUUCCAUUCUGAUAUUUUUUGUCAUGACAGCACUACACUCAAAUAUCUAUGAAACUAUUUAUUUAUGUAGUCUUUUUAAAUUAUACAGGACUAUGGAUGGAAUGAGUAGUUUACUGAAGGAUAAUGCUUAAGAAAGGGAAAUCAGCUACUGUGUUGUGGUUUAGAAAGCAGACCACUAAACUAAUGUUGUUUUCCAACAAGCCACUCUGAGUUACAGGAUAGAAUAAAAGUCAUCUCAAAAAAAAAAUGAAA